RNAcentral lists this ribosomal RNA (2613 nucleotides) under Staphylococcus aureus M0562. RNAcentral's name for it is "bacterial LSU rRNA". It matches the Rfam family "Bacterial large subunit ribosomal RNA", at positions 296 to 2925 of the family's 2925-position model. Lineage: Bacteria; Bacillati; Bacillota; Bacilli; Caryophanales; Staphylococcaceae. The record is from RNAcentral.
AUAAGAUCCCUCAAAGAUGAUGAGGUUAAUAGGUUCGAGGUGGAAGCAUGGUGACAUGUGGAGCUGACGAAUACUAAUCGAUCGAAGACUUCUUGAGUGGAUCCUGAGUACGACGGAGCACGUGAAAUUCCGUCGGAAUCUGGGAGGACCAUCUCCUAAGGCUAAAUACUCUCUAGUGACCGAUAGUGAACCAGUACCGUGAGGGAAAGGUGAAAAGCACCCCGGAAGGGGAGUGAAAUAGAACCUGAAACCGUGUGCUUACAAGUAGUCAGAGCCCGUUAAUGGGUGAUGGCGUGCCUUUUGUAGAAUGAACCGGCGAGUUACGAUUUGAUGCAAGGUUAAGCAGUAAAUGUGGAGCCGUAGCGAAAGCGAGUCUGAAUAGGGCGUUUAGUAUUUGGUCGUAGACCCGAAACCAGGUGAUCUACCCUUGGUCAGGUUGAAGUUCAGGUAACACUGAAUGGAGGACCGAACCGACUUACGUUGAAAAGUGAGCGGAUGAACUGAGGGUAGCGGAGAAAUUCCAAUCGAACCUGGAGAUAGCUGGUUCUCUCCGAAAUAGCUUUAGGGCUAGCCUCAAGUGAUGAUUAUUGGAGGUAGAGCACUGUUUGGACGAGGGGCCCCUCUCGGGUUACCGAAUUCAGACAAACUCCGAAUGCCAAUUAAUUUAACUUGGGAGUCAGAACAUGGGUGAUAAGGUCCGUGUUCGAAAGGGAAACAGCCCAGACCACCAGCUAAGGUCCCAAAAUAUAUGUUAAGUGGAAAAGGAUGUGGCGUUGCCCAGACAACUAGGAUGUUGGCUUAGAAGCAGCCAUCAUUUAAAGAGUGCGUAAUAGCUCACUAGUCGAGUGACACUGCGCCGAAAAUGUACCGGGGCUAAACAUAUUACCGAAGCUGUGGAUUGUCCUUUGGACAAUGGUAGGAGAGCGUUCUAAGGGCGUUGAAGCAUGAUCGUAAGGACAUGUGGAGCGCUUAGAAGUGAGAAUGCCGGUGUGAGUAGCGAAAGACGGGUGAGAAUCCCGUCCACCGAUUGACUAAGGUUUCCAGAGGAAGGCUCGUCCGCUCUGGGUUAGUCGGGUCCUAAGCUGAGGCCGACAGGCGUAGGCGAUGGAUAACAGGUUGAUAUUCCUGUACCACCUAUAAUCGUUUUAAUCGAUGGGGGGACGCAGUAGGAUAGGCGAAGCGUGCGAUUGGAUUGCACGUCUAAGCAGUAAGGCUGAGUAUUAGGCAAAUCCGGUACUCGUUAAGGCUGAGCUGUGAUGGGGAGAAGACAUUGAGUCUUCGAGUCGUUGAUUUCACACUGCCGAGAAAAGCCUCUAGAUAGAAAAUAGGUGCCCGUACCGCAAACCGACACAGGUAGUCAAGAUGAGAAUUCUAAGGUGAGCGAGCGAACUCUCGUUAAGGAACUCGGCAAAAUGACCCCGUAACUUCGGGAGAAGGGGUGCUCUUUAGGGUUAACGCCCAGAAGAGCCGCAGUGAAUAGGCCCAAGCGACUGUUUAUCAAAAACACAGGUCUCUGCUAAACCGUAAGGUGAUGUAUAGGGGCUGACGCCUGCCCGGUGCUGGAAGGUUAAGAGGAGUGGUUAGCUUCUGCGAAGCUACGAAUCGAAGCCCCAGUAAACGGCGGCCGUAACUAUAACGGUCCUAAGGUAGCGAAAUUCCUUGUCGGGUAAGUUCCGACCCGCACGAAAGGCGUAACGAUUUGGGCACUGUCUCAACGAGAGACUCGGUGAAAUCAUAGUACCUGUGAAGAUGCAGGUUACCCGCGACAGGACGGAAAGACCCCGUGGAGCUUUACUGUAGCCUGAUAUUGAAAUUCGGCACAGCUUGUACAGGAUAGGUAGGAGCCUUUGAAACGUGAGCGCUAGCUUACGUGGAGGCGCUGGUGGGAUACUACCCUAGCUGUGUUGGCUUUCUAACCCGCACCACUUAUCGUGGUGGGAGACAGUGUCAGGCGGGCAGUUUGACUGGGGCGGUCGCCUCCUAAAAGGUAACGGAGGCGCUCAAAGGUUCCCUCAGAAUGGUUGGAAAUCAUUCAUAGAGUGUAAAGGCAUAAGGGAGCUUGACUGCGAGACCUACAAGUCGAGCAGGGUCGAAAGACGGACUUAGUGAUCCGGUGGUUCCGCAUGGAAGGGCCAUCGCUCAACGGAUAAAAGCUACCCCGGGGAUAACAGGCUUAUCUCCCCCAAGAGUUCACAUCGACGGGGAGGUUUGGCACCUCGAUGUCGGCUCAUCGCAUCCUGGGGCUGUAGUCGGUCCCAAGGGUUGGGCUGUUCGCCCAUUAAAGCGGUACGCGAGCUGGGUUCAGAACGUCGUGAGACAGUUCGGUCCCUAUCCGUCGUGGGCGUAGGAAAUUUGAGAGGAGCUGUCCUUAGUACGAGAGGACCGGGAUGGACAUACCUCUGGUGUACCAGUUGUCGUGCCAACGGCAUAGCUGGGUAGCUAUGUGUGGACGGGAUAAGUGCUGAAAGCAUCUAAGCAUGAAGCCCCCCUCAAGAUGAGAUUUCCCAACUUCGGUUAUAAGAUCCCUCAAAGAUGAUGAGGUUAAUAGGUUCGAGGUGGAAGCAUGGUGACAUGUGGAGCUGACGAAUACUAAUCGAUCGAAGACUUAAUCAA